UAGGGAAUCUUCGGCAAUGGACGGAAGCCNGGACCGAGCAACCCCACGUGAGUGAAGAAGGUUUUCGGAUCGUAAAGCUCUGUUGUAAGAGAAGAACGAGUGUGAGAGUGGAAAGUUCACACUGUGACGGUAUCUUACCAGAAAGGGACGGCUAACUACGUGCCAGCAGCCGCGGGUAAUACGUAGGUCCCGAGCGUUGUCCGGAUUUAUUGGGCGUAAAGCGAGCGCAGGCGGGCUAGAUAAGUCUGAAGUUAAAGGCUGUGGCUUAACCAUAGUAGGCUUUGGAAACUGUUUAACUUGAGUGCAGGAGGGGAGAGUGGAAUUCCAUGUGUAGCGGUGAAAUGCGUAGAUAUAUGGAGGAACACCGGUGGCGAAAGCGGCUCUCUGGCUUGUAACUGACGCUGAGGCUCGAAAGCGUGGGGAGCAAACAGGAUUAGAUACCCUGGUAGUCCACGCUGUAAACGAUGAGUGCUAGGUGUUAGACCCUUUCCGGGGUUUAGUGCCGUAGCUAACGCAUUAAGCACUCCGCCUGGGGGAGUACGACCGCAAGNUUG
Molecule: ribosomal RNA, 554 nt
Filed under: uncultured bacterium
Lineage: Bacteria
Description: bacterial SSU rRNA
Rfam family: Bacterial small subunit ribosomal RNA
Source: RNAcentral